RNAcentral lists this ribosomal RNA (253 nucleotides) under uncultured bacterium. RNAcentral describes it as "partial 16S ribosomal RNA". It matches the Rfam family "Bacterial small subunit ribosomal RNA", at positions 524 to 776 of the family's 1533-position model. The record is from RNAcentral.
UACGUAGGGUGCAAGCGUUGUCCGGAAUUAUUGGGCGUAAAGAGCUUGUAGGCGGUUUGUCGCGUCUGCUGUGAAAUUUCGGGGCUCAACCCCGAACUUGCAGUGGGUACGGGCAGACUAGAGUGUGGUAGGGGAGACUGGAAUUCCUGGUGUAGCGGUGAAAUGCGCAGAUAUCUGGAGGAACACCGGUGGCGAAGGCGGCAUCCUGGACCAACACUGACACUGAGGAGCGAAAGCCAGGGGAGCAAACGGG